GGCUGGUCUGAAGGUAGCAAGUUAUCUCAAUUGUUCACAAAGAUCAGAUGAACUCCUUGUUCCAUUCUUUCCCCCUUUCCCGCUACUGCACUUGACUAGUCUUUA
Molecule: Y RNA, 105 nt
Filed under: Aotus nancymaae (Ma's night monkey)
Lineage: Eukaryota; Metazoa; Chordata; Mammalia; Primates; Aotidae
Description: Y RNA (ENSANAG00000000459.1)
Rfam family: Y RNA
About the family: Y RNAs are components of the Ro ribonucleoprotein particle (Ro RNP), in association with Ro60 and La proteins. The Y RNAs and Ro60 and La proteins are well conserved, but the function of the Ro RNP is not known.
Source: Rfam by way of RNAcentral